UUUUCUGAGGAAGAAGAGAGAGCAGGCCAGCUGGCAGCUCCUGAGGACCACAGAGAGCAGGAAAAGAGCCAUCUGGAGCAGAUAGGGAAAAGGGUUGUGAGGUGCUUGGAGAGAGACCGUGGGAAUGGACAGAGAGAAGUCUUCAGAGGGAGAAAUGCUGUCACCUACCACAGGUGCCUCUGCAUUGCUUGCAGGCCUCCACCGCCCCCAUCUUCCCUACAGACUAUCAAAGGAAUUAGGAUUUGGAAGGAUGGAUGCACAGAGCACCUAACGUUUAAAAGAACGAACGUACGAGGAUGCCCCAAAACGGAGUCCAGAUGGACGUCAGAGUCCAGCAGACUAUCACAGGCAUUCCAGAUGGAGGAUUUCAGUGGUGCUUUGGAGUACACUUGGAGGCCAAGACUAAUGUAUCUACAGUAGUAGUUUACUUCAGGACAGGAAUAAGCUUUCAAAGUUAAUCUCUCAGUUAACCCCACUAACUGCUUUCUGGAUUGCAUCAUGGAGUGGUCUCGGAUCACAGGAAAUGAAUCCUUUUUGGAUUAAAAUAAACCAAAGGAUGCUUUCUGGUAUUGCA
RNAcentral lists this long non-coding RNA (574 nucleotides) under Struthio camelus australis. RNAcentral describes it as "lncRNA (ENSSCUG00000012493.1)". The record is from RNAcentral. Lineage: Eukaryota; Metazoa; Chordata; Aves; Struthioniformes; Struthionidae.